AAUUAAUGAGCUUGAACAAGCAUAUGCUUUGAAAGCAUAAGAUGAUAGUAUAAAUCUAUUAUUAAUUU
RNAcentral lists this transfer RNA (68 nucleotides) under Layahima wuzhishana. RNAcentral describes it as "tRNA-Ser". It matches the Rfam family "tRNA". From Rfam's summary of the family: Transfer RNA (tRNA) molecules are approximately 80 nucleotides in length. Lineage: Eukaryota; Metazoa; Arthropoda; Insecta; Neuroptera; Myrmeleontidae. The record is from RNAcentral.